AGAGUUUGAUCCUGGCUCAGGAUGAACGCUGGUGGCGUGCUUAACACAUGCAAGUCGAACGAAGCGAUCGAGAGGAAGUUUUCGGAUGGAAUCCGGAUUGACUGAGUGGCGGACGGGUGAGUAACGCGUGGGUAACCUGCCUCAUACAGGGGGAUAACAGUUAGAAAUGACUGCUAAUACCGCAUAAGCGCACAGGGACACAUGUUCCGGUGUGAAAAACUCCGGUGGUAUGAGAUGGACCCGCGUCUGAUUAGCUGGUUGGCGGGGUAACGGCCCACCAAGGCGACGAUCAGUAGCCGACCUGAGAGGGUGACCGGCCACAUUGGGACUGAGACACGGCCCAAACUCCUACGGGAGGCAGCAGUGGGGAAUAUUGCACAAUGGGGGAAACCCUGAUGCUGCAACGCCGCGUGAGUGAAGAAGUAUUUCGGUAUGUAAAGCUCUAUCAGCAGGGAAGAAGAUGACGGUACCUGAGUAAGAAGCCCCGGCUAACUACGUG
RNAcentral lists this ribosomal RNA (499 nucleotides) under uncultured Lachnospiraceae bacterium. RNAcentral describes it as "bacterial SSU rRNA". It matches the Rfam family "Bacterial small subunit ribosomal RNA", at positions 8 to 507 of the family's 1533-position model. The record is from RNAcentral. Lineage: Bacteria; Bacillati; Bacillota; Clostridia; Lachnospirales; Lachnospiraceae.